CUACUGAUGACGAAUCCCACACUAGGACGAAACACCUGUCCAGUAC
This 46-nucleotide non-coding RNA is filed under the name Trichobilharzia regenti. Lineage: Eukaryota; Metazoa; Platyhelminthes; Trematoda; Strigeidida; Schistosomatidae. The record is from RNAcentral.